GCGGGAGUAGCUUAGCUGGUUAAAGCACCUGCUUGUGGUGCAGGGGAGCGGGGGUUCGAAUCCCCUCUCUCGCCCCA
Molecule: transfer RNA, 77 nt
Filed under: Alphaproteobacteria bacterium MarineAlpha3_Bin7
Lineage: Bacteria; Pseudomonadati; Pseudomonadota; Alphaproteobacteria
Description: tRNA-His
Rfam family: tRNA
About the family: Transfer RNA (tRNA) molecules are approximately 80 nucleotides in length. Their secondary structure includes four short double-helical elements and three loops (D, anti-codon, and T loops).
Source: RNAcentral